RNAcentral lists this transfer RNA (76 nucleotides) under Magnetococcales bacterium. RNAcentral describes it as "tRNA-His". It matches the Rfam family "tRNA". Rfam says of the family: Transfer RNA (tRNA) molecules are approximately 80 nucleotides in length. Their secondary structure includes four short double-helical elements and three loops (D, anti-codon, and T loops). Lineage: Bacteria; Pseudomonadati; Pseudomonadota; Magnetococcia; Magnetococcales. The record is from RNAcentral.
GCGAAUGUAGCUCAGUUGGCAGAGCCCUGGAUUGUGGAUCCAGUGGUCGUGGGUUCGAGUCCCAUCGUUCGCCCCA